UACGGAGGGUGCAAGCGUUAUCCGGAUUCACUGGGUUUAAAGGGUGCGUAGGUGGGCAGGUAAGUCAGUGGUGAAAUCUCCGGGCUUAACCCGGAAACUGCCGUUGAUACUAUUUGUCUUGAAUAUUGUGGAGGUAAGCGGAAUAUGUCAUGUAGCGGUGAAAUGCUUAGAUAUGACAUAGAACACCAAUUGCGAAGGCAGCUUACUACACAAUGAUUGACACUGAGGCACGAAAGCGUGGGGAUCAAACGGG
This 253-nucleotide ribosomal RNA is filed under the name uncultured bacterium. RNAcentral's name for it is "partial 16S ribosomal RNA". It matches the Rfam family "Bacterial small subunit ribosomal RNA", at positions 524 to 776 of the family's 1533-position model. The record is from RNAcentral.